This is a long non-coding RNA of Poecile atricapillus (Black-capped chickadee), 903 nucleotides long. RefSeq lists it as uncharacterized. The record is from RefSeq and is a predicted model, not a curated record. NCBI's taxonomy places the organism in Eukaryota, Metazoa, Chordata, Aves, Passeriformes, Paridae. The transcript is spliced from 3 exons.
UUCUUCCCCACCCAGUGGGACCCCAGAGCCAGGAGAGUCCUGCCAUGGCCCUGCUGCUGUGACCACCCCCGUGUCACCCACAGGGUUGGGCUCAACGCUCUGGUGACAACUUGAGCCCAGACUGUCCAAAAUAAGGAAAGAAAACCCUAUUAAAACCCUAUUAAAGUAUCUGACUGCCAUGGAGGAAGAGUGAGGGAUGCAAACCCAGACCCCAAACCCAAGAGCUGCUCCAGUUGUCAGGGCCAACCUCCCCAGCGGCACCGACCUGACCCGUGCGAGCACUCCCUGGAAAACUUGCCGGGAUUUUAGCGGUGUGGCAUAACCUCACGACAAGGGAAUGCACUGCUGGAAGCACAGGCAGGCUCCGGGAUGACUGAGACGGAGCGAACCUCACACGCAGAGCCCCGGGCAAGCGGCAGCGUCUGCAGCAGGAGCCGGCGAGCUCCGAGCUUUGCAGAGUCAUCCGAUCCCGGCAUUGUCCCCAGCCACGGCACCUGCAGCUGCCACCACCAAACCCUCGCUCUCGCAUUCUCCCGGCUGCUCUUUGAGGCAGUUUUCGGCACUGCUGACACAUCGCAGCCUCGGACUCAACGGCCGGCGGCAGGAGAAGGGGCAGCCCCUGGAAAGCCAUAUUUUUCCACGUGAGCAUGGGUGCACCAUCCCGGGGUGAUGCCCCCCGAGCCUACCUCUGCCUGCUCCGGCUCCUGCCGUGCUCAGGAAGUCGGCACUCGCCUCUAAGGAAGUUUCUGCUUUACGUGCCCCAAAAGCACCCAGCAGCGCACACCACAGCCUGCGACAUCGCCCGCUGCCACCCCGUCACUGUCACCGUCACCUUGCCCAUGGCUCGCUGGCCACGGGGAUGCAGAAAUCAAGUUUAAAAUAACAACUCUGGUCCAUCCUUCG